RNAcentral lists this ribosomal RNA (433 nucleotides) under uncultured bacterium. RNAcentral's name for it is "partial 16S ribosomal RNA". It matches the Rfam family "Bacterial small subunit ribosomal RNA", at positions 29 to 507 of the family's 1533-position model. The record is from RNAcentral.
AACGAACGCUGGCGGCAUGCCUAACACAUGCAAGUCGAACGAGACCUUCUGGUCUAGUGGCGCACGGGUGCGUAACGCGUGGGAACCUGCCCUUAGGUUCGGAAUAACUCCCCGAAAGGGGUGCUAAUACCGGAUAAUGUCUUCGGACCAAAGAUUUAUCGCCUUUGGAUGGGCCCGCGUUGGAUUAGCUAGUUGGUAGGGUAAAAGCCUACCAAGGCGACGAUCCAUAGCUGGUCUGAGAGGAUGAUCAGCCACACUGGGACUGAGACACGGCCCAGACUCCUACGGGAGGCAGCAGUGGGGAAUAUUGGACAAUGGGCGAAAGCCUGAUCCAGCAAUGCCGCGUGAGUGAUGAAGGCCUUAGGGUUGUAAAGCUCUUUUACCCGGGAUGAUAAUGACAGUACCGGGAGAAUAAGCUCCGGCUAACUCCGUG